UUUCCGUAGGUGAACCUGCGGAAGGAUCAUUACUGAGUUAGGGUCUCAUCUCGAGCCCGAAUCUCCAACCCUUUGUAUAAAACACUUUGUUGCUUUGGCAGGCCCGUCUGAAAAUCCUUUAACCGGUAUCGACGACCGCCGGGGGCGUUUAGUCACCUCUGGCCAGUGCUUGCCGAUAGCCUAUUCAAAAUUCUUUAUUAAAUCAUGUCUGAAAAAUUAUAACUAAAUAUAAUUAAAACUUUUAACAACGGAUCUCUUGGUUCUGGCAUCGAUGAAGAACGCAGCGAAAUGCGAUAAGUAAUGUGAAUUGCAGAAUUCAGUGAAUCAUCGAAUCUUUGAACGCACAUUGCGCCCUUUGGUAUUCCGAAGGGCAUGCCUGUUCGAGCGUCAUUAUCAACCCUCAAGCUCGGCUUGUUAUUGGGCUCUUAUCGUUAAAGAUAGGCCCGAAAGAUAAUGGCGGCGUCAUAAAUGACCCCAGAUGCAGCGAGCUUAUAGCAUACAUCGAAAGGUUUUUAUGGCCCGGCCUUAACGAGAAGCAAUUCUCAAUUUAUUUAAAGGUUGACCUCGGAUCAGGUAGGAAUACCCGCUGAACUUAAAGCAUAUCAAUAAGCGG
RNAcentral lists this ribosomal RNA (613 nucleotides) under Phaeomoniella sp. Its description in RNAcentral is "eukaryotic LSU rRNA". The stretch from base 237 to 390 matches the Rfam family "5.8S ribosomal RNA". The record is from RNAcentral. Lineage: Eukaryota; Fungi; Ascomycota; Eurotiomycetes; Phaeomoniellales; Phaeomoniellaceae.